RNAcentral lists this transfer RNA (73 nucleotides) under Haematococcus lacustris. RNAcentral describes it as "Haematococcus pluvialis tRNA". It matches the Rfam family "tRNA". Rfam says of the family: Transfer RNA (tRNA) molecules are approximately 80 nucleotides in length. Their secondary structure includes four short double-helical elements and three loops (D, anti-codon, and T loops). Lineage: Eukaryota; Viridiplantae; Chlorophyta; Chlorophyceae; Chlamydomonadales; Haematococcaceae. The record is from Rfam by way of RNAcentral.
UCUCUCAUAGCUCAGUUGGUAGAGCGCACGACUGUUAAUCGUAAGGUCAUGGGUUCGAUCCCCAUUGAGAGAG